RNAcentral lists this ribosomal RNA (613 nucleotides) under Williopsis misumaiensis. Its description in RNAcentral is "LSU rRNA". It matches the Rfam family "Eukaryotic large subunit ribosomal RNA", at positions 33 to 656 of the family's 3401-position model. The record is from RNAcentral. Lineage: Eukaryota; Fungi; Ascomycota; Saccharomycetes; Phaffomycetales; Wickerhamomycetaceae.
CUUAAGCAUAUCAAUAAGCGGAGGAAAAGAAACCAACAGGGAUUGCCUCAGUAACGGCGAGUGAAGCGGCAAAAGCUCAAAUUUGAAAUCUGGUACCUCUGGUGCCCGAGUUGUAAUUUGAAGAUAGUUUUCUGGUAUUGGGCCCUUGUCUAUGUUCCUUGGAACAGGACGUCAUAGAGGGUGAGAAUCCCGUCUGGCGGGGCGCCCUUUGCUAUGUAGAUUUCUAUCGACGAGUCGAGUUGUUUGGGAAUGCAGCUCUAAGUGGGUGGUAAAUUCCAUCUAAAGCUAAAUAUUGGCGAGAGACCGAUAGCGAACAAGUACAGUGAUGGAAAGAUGAAAAGAACUUUGAAAAGAGAGUGAAAAAGUACGUGAAAUUGUUGAAAGGGAAGGAUAUUGGAUCAGACUUGGUGUUGCAUGAUUAUCUUCCCCUUGUGGGUUGUGCACUCGUGCUUCACUGGGCCAGCAUCGGUUCGGACGGCAAGAUAAUGACAUUGGGAACGUGGCUCUUUCUUCGGUUAGAGUGUUAUAGCCCAUGUUGAUGUUGCCUGCCUGGACCGAGGACUGCGGCUUCGGCCUAGGAUGCUGGCGUAAUGAUUCAAUAUCGCCCGUCUUG